Long non-coding RNA from Bombus impatiens (common eastern bumble bee), 4330 nucleotides. RefSeq lists it as uncharacterized. The transcript has 2 exons. The record is from RefSeq and is a predicted model, not a curated record. NCBI's taxonomy places the organism in Eukaryota, Metazoa, Arthropoda, Insecta, Hymenoptera, Apidae.
GACAUAGAAAAAGAAUCGAGAGAGACGACCGAGAGAGAAUACGUACUCGGUUGGUUCUAGCGCGUGUGUGUGUGUGUGUGUUGUUGUUGUUGUGUGUGUGUGCGCGCGCUCGCGCAAGGGAGCGUCACGGUGAGAUGAAACACCAGGAAAGAAGACAAAGAAGGGAGUAUGUAUGCAGAAGAGAAACGGAAAGAGAUAAACGCAACAUUGUCGAGUUCCAUAGUAGUGAAACACACGCACACACAUAAGAGCGCUUAUAAUUUUUACGCUACGCGCAGACUCGUGUUGACUAUCGAAGUUUGUUUUCAAUCAGCCAGCAUCGCGUGAACUUGUUGCCCGUAUAAUUGGUAUAGUAUUGCGUGCCACCGUUUUACAUAAUUGACCAACUCCAAUAUUGUCUUGCAAAAAGUUUAACGAACAAAAGCACAUCAUUGCUGCAUCAUCCACAUCAUAGAUGCGAUAAUCAACCAGAUAUCGAUCACAUAUCACAUCGAAUUAACAAAUCGAGAAAAAUGCUCGAUCGCAGAAGGAGGAUAUAUACUUUAUGUACAUCCUUGUACAGUGCGUUCGUAUAAACGAAUAGAAAAUUGCGCUUUUGGCUCUUUAUACAAUUUUAUAAACAAUCGCUUGAAAACAACGUUUAAUUUAAACAUCGAGGAGAUUUAAUCGUUGAUCAGAAUCAACAAAUAUUAUUACGCAGAAAUGGAAUGCAUCGAACGAGCUUUUACGCUCUUACCCUGAGAACGCGACGGAUUUCUUGUCUAAACAGAAAAUUUAAAGGACAAUGUUGUUCGGUCGCACAAAAUAACAGCAUAAACCGGUUUCUGCACGUGGCAAGAGUUGCUCGAUCGUGCCCGGUGAACCGGCAGUACCCGACUACAAUACCUACCACCAUGCUAUCGAUUUACGUAACUUUCUUCCACUUUUGACACACAUUCCUCCCUAAGUUAUUUUGAAGUUCCAGGAUGACGAAACGGAAGAUAAGGCCAAAUGUGCGUUUGACUAGGUGGCUAAGAUGGGUUUAAGGGUUGCGGGUUACGUAAGUAUUAUGUAUGUAACUUGAAGAGGCUUCGUAGCUAUGAAUCAACCAGGUGCAACGUAAGCAGGUGCCAAAGGGCAAGGCGUAAUCGCGGAGAAACCGAGGGUGAAAAAAGAUAACGAAAGUUGAAUUUUCAAAAUGGUCACUGCUAGUUCAUAAUCGUUUUUCGAGUUGUCUCGAUUCUGUCACGUGAUGUUGACUGUUUUAGAUAGAAUCGAUCGUUUAAAUCGAUUUGGAAUACGUGUAUUUGUAACGGCGACGUUAAGAAGCUCGAUUACUACGACUCAUCGAACAAUAUUUGUAAAACCACGGAGAUGACCACGAAACUGUAUAUUGAUACAAAUUUAUGUAAUUACUUCAGGUUCUAUGCAUGACACGAUGAAAUCAUCGAGAAUUCAUUAAUUUUAACGAGUUAUUAUCGUUCUUCGGUAACCAGUGACUCAUCCAAACGGAUUAUCGCUGUACUCUAUCUCUUAUCGUUUAACGAAGCGAGAGAAAUGCGCGUUGCAAAUUUGUAUUGCGAACUCACCUAGUGCCGCCUUUCAAAAAUAAACGAAAUUUUGGUUAAAUUAUAGCGAUAUUUGGUUCUUGAAUAGCUAAUCUAAUUGGUUAAUGGUUAAUGACAUUUAGUUUAGCAGUGAGAGAAGAAACCAGAUAACGCGAACGAUGUGUAUAUUACAUAUCCCGUGUUAAUAAAGUUAAAGCAAAACAAUUACGGUGUGAUACAAGACGCGCAUAUUAUGUUAUGUAAUUUGACAAACCGGUCGCUCAGCACGAAUUGUCCAUCUCUCUAAAACUUUUAUUCGUAAACUUAUGGAUGUCUUUGAAUGAAAGUAUGGCUUAUUUAGAUGCAGUAUCGGAGCUAACGGUUAAGAAAUAGAUUGUAAUGAUUCGAAUUUGAAUAUUUUGGCGUCUAAUAUAACCUUUAAUUAGUCGAGCAACAACAACGACAACAGGUUAUGAAAACCGUUAAGAUAGCUUAAACGAUUAAUAAUACCGAAAUAGAUAAAUUUUCAGAGUUUUACGUAAUAUAAAUCGUUCGAUAAAACAAUCGAGAUUAAUACGCGGAAAAAAAGAAGUUGGUAAAUACGAUAGAGAGCAGAAAAGAGCCGAAUUUGUUCGAAUUACGCUACUUGUUUAAAAGAUAGUGAAAAGUAAUUGUGAUUUUUUUGUUUCGAGUGUUCACACAUGGCUAUGCGAAUUCGCGAUUGGAAAUAUUUUCGAAAAGAAAUUGCCGUCGAAUAAAUUUUCUCAAGAGCUAAUUGAUCCAUAAGCAACGAAGAUAAAAGGAGCGAGAACGAUAUACUCGACGAGCGUCGAUUGUCGAGCGUCGAGCGUGAAGGCAUGAUUUCACGCAGCACGUGGAUCCACGAUUCAGGGUCAAAUAAUAGGACGCGCAGAAGUUCUUUGUCCAAGGUCUUCCGCAUGAUAUUCAGUUUUGGUUGACUGUUUUAUCACGCGUAAAUUUUACACAACACCUUUGACGUUUUGUAUUUUUUGUUUGAAUGGCAAACUUCUUUAUGCUUGCGAAGCGAUAAAUUACAUACAGACUUAUAUCUACCUAUAUCUGCUUUCAAAAAGAGAGCGAUGCGUCGUAGGUAUAUGUUUGGUUAUUACAACUAAUCUAAUUCUAUUCGAUAUCAUAGUAAAAAAAUAUCUUGUUACAAUGCACAAAAAUUCGCAACUCCUUUUUCCUUUCAAAAUUUGAUCCUUUUGAUUCGCCACGACAAUGUAUAUAGGCGCAAUAUUCGCACACUUCGUAUCGUAUAAAUACAUAAAUGUACGUAUAUGUAAUCCAUUACUUGUUAUCUUAAGAUCAAAGGGACGUUGAUAGAUAUUAUCGAAUUGUAUGGAGAGGUAUGGAGAGCGAGAGAAAGAGAGAAUGAGCACCUUGAAUAGUGCAGAGUAUAGAACGUAUAAAGCAGUAUUAUCAAGAGAGACCGAGAGAGAGAGAAAAGUAUCGGUAAUAUUUCCAAAAAGAUUUUUAUUUGUAAUUCUAUCGUUAUGUAUUGCUUAAAGUUCACACGAAAUCUAGUAGAUCCUUACGACGACGUAAUAAGACGCGGAAAUAAUUUAGUUCGUUCGUGACCGCAUCGGUACAGUUAGUAGCAGAAUUAAUUGCAAAUCCACGUUUUCGCCAGCGAAUUAAUCAAGGUAUUAGUUUAUAAAUUAAGUCGACAUUUAUAGACACUUAAUAAACUGUAAAUUAAGGAGAGGAUACGAGACAAUUUCGAUGAUCAACGGUGUACGGUGUGAAAAACGGACGAAACCAUCCUCCGUGAAAAAUGCCAACGAACUUGCUUGACCCGGGAGGAAGACCAGUGGCCUGAUCUGGUAUCGAUCACACAUCAAAUUUCCUACGAUUCCGCGUUUCGUGGCAUUACCGUAUUCCAUGUUUUUCGCCGAUCGGAUCGCUAAAACAUCAAACCGGUCUACGAUUUCUACGAUCUACCCUGUGUACGCUCUGUAGCCUUGACUUUAUUGUAGCAAACGCGUACAGAUUUACAUACAUAUGUGCCUAAGUACCUUUAUUAUGACUGUGUCGCGAUAUCGCUAUCUCUUUUGCCCCUUUUCUUUUUGUAACAACGACAUGCAAAUUAUAUUCAUCGGCGAAACUCGUCGCGCGUAUCCGUCUCUUCUUCUUUUAUCUUAUUUCCCAGAAACGAACAUCCUUAUAGGUUCGCCUUUAUAAGGAUCCUUUUUGCGGUGAUACGUAACGUACGUACUACUUAGGUAUGUACAUGCGAUCAAUGAUGUCUCGUGAUGGUUCAACGCACACCAAAUAAAAAUAUGGAAAAUAGUAAAUAUUUUCUGCGGAACGAGCGCGAUAAGAUUAAGCAAGUGGUAUUUCUUUCUCGCUUGUCGCGAUGUACAAAGCGCGAUUUCUUGCGAUAAAGACAAGCUGUUGAACAAGCGAAUCGAAGGCAAACUCGUGAAUAGAUAAUGAGAAUAUUAGGAAUGAAUUAAAUACCCGAAUAGAAAUACAACGAGGUUCGAAUUGUCGGAUAAUUUUCGAAGAUCAGAGACAUUUUCGACGAAUAUAUAAUCGUAUUACGUGUAAUCUGACCUAUUACGAGAAACGAGAUAACGAGUUCGUCUCGCGUGAUAUAUCGGUACACUUGUCUGCGCGACAUUGCCCAGAAACGUUUUUACAAAACAAAUUUCCGAGGGAGGGAAGAGGAUAACGUUGCUUGCGCGUUGGCAUUCUUACGAUAACAUUACACGAUUUUGCACGAUAUCGAUAACGUCGUUAUUGAUAAGCUUGUCAAUAAACAAUAAAUUCUGUAAUCU